ACGAUAACGGCGUCGAGCGGCGGACGGGUGAGUAAUGCCUAGGAAAUUGCCCUGAUGUGGGGGAUAACCAUUGGAAACGAUGGCUAAUACCGCAUGAUGCCUACGGGCCAAAGAGGGGGACCUUCGGGCCUCUCGCGUCAGGAUAUGCCUAGGUGGGAUUAGCUAGUUGGUGAGGUAAGGGCUCACCAAGGCGACGAUCCCUAGCUGGUCUGAGA
Molecule: ribosomal RNA, 215 nt
Filed under: Vibrio parahaemolyticus
Lineage: Bacteria; Pseudomonadati; Pseudomonadota; Gammaproteobacteria; Vibrionales; Vibrionaceae
Description: partial 16S ribosomal RNA
Rfam family: Bacterial small subunit ribosomal RNA
Source: RNAcentral